RNAcentral lists this ribosomal RNA (376 nucleotides) under uncultured bacterium. Its description in RNAcentral is "bacterial SSU rRNA". It matches the Rfam family "Bacterial small subunit ribosomal RNA", at positions 29 to 416 of the family's 1533-position model. The record is from RNAcentral.
AAUCAACGCUGGCGGCGCGCCUAACACAUGCAAGUCGAACGAGAAAGCAGGAGCAAUCUUGUGAGUAAAGUGGCGUACGGGUGACUAACACGUGGAUUAUCUACCCUCUUGUGGGGGAUAACCCUGGGAAACCGGGGCUAAUACCGCAUAAGUCCGAGAGGAGAAAGCAGCAAUGCGCAGGAGGAGGAGUCCGCGGCCGAUUAGCUAGUUGGUAGGGUAAGAGCCUACCAAGGCAACGAUCGGUAGCCGGCCUGAGAGGGCACACGGCCACACUGGCACUGAAACACGGGCCAGACUCCUACGGGAGGCAGCAGUGGGGAAUCUUGCACAAUGGGGGCAACCCUGAUGCAGCGACGCCGCGUGAACGAUGAAGCCC